Molecule: long non-coding RNA, 2063 nt
Organism: Brassica napus (rape)
Lineage: Eukaryota; Viridiplantae; Streptophyta; Magnoliopsida; Brassicales; Brassicaceae
Exons: 4
Source: RefSeq, a predicted model, not a curated record
CUCAUUUGUCGGCAAGACUAUAAGACAAUUGACCAUCUCCAAUAUCUAGAACUUUCGGAUAAGGGAAUGAGGGUACUUCGGACAAAAAUCAAGAUGUUUGAUGUAAACCAGCUCUUUUGAGAUUCUUACCCACAUGAUUUUUCUUUCUCUCUAUAGGAUCUUUAGUUUCAGUUUGUCUAAAUCUGCCUUCUUCUUCCUCUGUAAUGCAAAGAGAUGACUCGCUCAAGGAUCCAACACCCUCCUCGUCCGUGAUGAUGAGACGACACCAUUCUGGACGUGUUUUCUCCAUCUCCUCCUGCUCCAUCAUUCUUCUUGUUGUCCAUGUCCUUGGAACCCGAUACAGGUCCAGAUACGAAAGACAUCAAUCAAUUCAACUCGCUUCUCCCUCAAGCCUUGAGACUCCAAGUGUCAAAAUAUCUGUGCAUGUCCCUCUUCCCACUCCUUAAUCCAUAUUUUAUAACCAGAAAAGGUGGUGGAUAGAUAUAAUUUACAAUCGCUGGUGAUUUCAAAACAUCAGGGUCUGGAACAUUGAAGCAUAACUGAUUGAUUUUGGUGAAACGCAACUGGAGAGAAAAAUUGAUAUUGGCAUAAGGUGCUUACCAUAACAUCAUAGAUGAAACAAAUGAAAGUCCUUUGAAGGAGAGCGUAACCAGCGAGACCCAUUUCACUGUUGUGACCCAAGAAAGCUUGAGCUACCACUACGCAGCCAAACGACAUCACUCUGAACAAAGACGAUGUUAUGAGCAAGAGAUUUUACCUGAUUGCUUCACACAGUAUUCAACAGGGAGCUUCUCUUAACUAUGUGUCCAUGCCUCUUUAUGUUUCAAGUACAUGGACGGCACCAGAUUGAAAGGUUAGCAUCAGAAUUUCUAAGUAAUUGUGUAAUUGUUUGGGACAGAUUCAAGCACACCUGCUAUACUUUAUCUUACAAACCACUCAUUAGGCUAAAAGUAAACAAUUGCGUUCACAAAAUAAAUCUUACUGAAAGUAUGUAAAAAAAUACCAUAUAAAAAAUAUAACACACAAACUCUAUAAUGAAACUGCAAAAAAAAAUUGGAUAAGAAGCUGAAAUGUUUGUUCAAACCUUGGUAACUCACUUUUAUAUGCGGUGCUUGGAAUCUUACAUAAAAAUAGAUUUAUCUUUAUAAGGUUUUGUAUUGUAAGAAGACAUAUAUAGUGACUCACUUAUAGAAUUAAUAUGUAUAUAUACAUAUAGACAAUGUGAUAAAUUAUAAUAUUGAAUAAUCAAAGCACGACAUAUAAAAUCACCGGCUUUUAGCAAGAGAUUUAAUUUAGAUUGAUGCGGUCAAUCAUAUCUUACCAAAAUUGUAAGUUAUCAGCUUAUAUAUUUUGAUUGUCCGUGCAUACAAAGUUUCACAUUAACAAAAUUAUAUAUUUGCUUUCUUAACACAUAUUCGAAAAUAAUGGCAUAAUUAACUGAGGAGAGAUUCACUCUGCACACAAAAUAUAACUCAAGGUCACGUGAAUGAUGUGAACAUAUGAGCUAAAACAUACAGAUAAGAUAGGGAACGAUAACCGAAUCAUAGAAUGUAAUAUAACAAAUCAUAAUUUCAAAUAUAUGUUGUUUGAGUUGAACAGCUUCUCUAUUGUAUGAGUUACUUUUUAUUUUUGUUUCAGAAAUAUUAAACAAUAACAUGAGAUGUGCACAAGUGUGUAAAUUCAACGGUAGAGUUCGUGAGUAUUGUUCGUCAUAACAUGCUUGUAUAAUGGAGUGAGAAUGAAUAAGUCGAGUUCUUCUGCUGGAGUGGGUUCCAUUGUAAAACAUGUCGAGUCGAGCUUUAGAGAUUAUAUACGAAGUUGUGGUGGAGAAAACCGGUUAACAAAGCUUGACGAUUGAAGUGAGUUAUUGACUUAUUUUAUGUACCGUGUAAUGUCCUAUGUUAAAGAAAAAAUGUGUAAUAGGUACCAAUGGCAAUACUUGUAAAUAUCCUAGUAAUUAAAGACUUAUUAACUAAAAUUGAUGAGGAGAGCUGUGAGCUUGCCACAUCAGCAAAAAUGGCAAAAUUGUUAUUAAUCUACCAAAGCAAGGUUACUCUUACCAA